AUUGUGGAAAUUCCCCAAUCAGAAAUACUUAAAUUGUUCAUAUAGUUUAACUCAAAACAUUACAUUUUCAUUGUAAAAUCAAACAAUCUUUUAUGA
RNAcentral lists this transfer RNA (96 nucleotides) under Dilophotes sp. L LB-2014. RNAcentral describes it as "tRNA-Glu". The record is from RNAcentral. Lineage: Eukaryota; Metazoa; Arthropoda; Insecta; Coleoptera; Lycidae.